RNAcentral lists this transfer RNA (72 nucleotides) under Haedus sp. Its description in RNAcentral is "tRNA-Lys". It matches the Rfam family "tRNA". From Rfam's summary of the family: Transfer RNA (tRNA) molecules are approximately 80 nucleotides in length. Their secondary structure includes four short double-helical elements and three loops (D, anti-codon, and T loops). Lineage: Eukaryota; Metazoa; Arthropoda; Insecta; Hemiptera; Tingidae. The record is from RNAcentral.
CAUUAAGUGGCUGAAUAGUAAAGCAUUGGUCUCUUAAACCAUCUUAUAGUAUUUAACAAAUACUCUUAAUGA